UACGUAGGGCGCAAGCGUUAUCCGGAAUUAUUGGGCGUAAAGAGCUCGUAGGCGGUUUGUCGCGUCUGCCGUGAAAGUCCGGGGCUCAACUCCGGAUCUGCGGUGGGUACGGGCAGACUAGAGUGAUGUAGGGGGAGACUGGAAUUCCUGGUGUAGCGGUGAAAUGCGCAGAUAUCAGGAGGAACACCGAUGGCGAAGGCAGGUCUCUGGGCAACAACUGACGCUGAGGAGCGAAAGCGUGGGGAGCGAACAGG
RNAcentral lists this ribosomal RNA (254 nucleotides) under uncultured bacterium. Its description in RNAcentral is "partial 16S ribosomal RNA". It matches the Rfam family "Bacterial small subunit ribosomal RNA", at positions 524 to 776 of the family's 1533-position model. The record is from RNAcentral.